RNAcentral lists this long non-coding RNA (2063 nucleotides) under Nicotiana tabacum (common tobacco). Its description in RNAcentral is "long non-coding RNA (NTAB_LNC010549)". The record is from RNAcentral. Lineage: Eukaryota; Viridiplantae; Streptophyta; Magnoliopsida; Solanales; Solanaceae.
GUAGAGAGCGCUUCCCCCCGAAUGGGGCCCUAUGCGGCGUGAAUCCGAAUAUAAUCGGGCUCUAAUCAGAGUACCGGACACCGGGUGGGAAACCAAAAAAAAGAUGUCUCGUUCAACCUUAUCCUUUUCCUUUGUAAAAUCAAAGCUUGAAACAGCAAUCAACAUAAUACUAUAGUUGUUUGCACAAAUCAAACUACUCCAAAUAAUUAGUAAUUAGCAUCUAAGAACCAAUAUUCUUCGUAGGUGUGAUAAAUUCCCAUAAAAAAGUGUAACUUGUCAAAUGAGUCCAAACUUAAGUAGGUUAGGAUAUGAGGGCAUCACCAAUUGGCUUAAUUCGUGUCAUAACCCAAACUGAUGGGUUGCGACGAGCACCCGGUACCUUACUCAAUCGAGUACCAAUGUAACAUAUCUUUCUUAUUACAUCAUUAUAUACACAUGACAUACGGUCCUAAUAGGCCAACAUGAUUCUUUAUAAACUCGAAACAUAGGCCGACAAGGCCGUACAAUCUUUUAUGUACACGAUAUAUGUCUGCAAGCCUCUAAGAAUACAUAAAUAUCAUAAAGGUCGAGACAGAGUCCCGCCAUACCAAACAAUAUACAUCUAACUCAUACUAAUCAAACAAGCAACUCCGAAGCAAAUGGAGCGCACCAACAUCUUCCGCUGAGCUGAUAGCCUACAUAGAGGGCUCUCGACCUGUCUAUCGGGAUCUGCGGACAUGAAACGCAGCGUCCCCAGGCAAAAGGAACGUCAGUACGAAUAAUGUACUGAGUAUGUAAGGUACAUAAAUAAAUACAUAAGAGACAUGGAAGACAUAUAGAGUACAUGACUCAACAUGUAAGUCUGAAUAACUUUGUAAAUCAUAAAUUACUUUUAGCGUCAUGCGUAUGCGUAUGAAUGUCAUGUCAUGUCGUGCAUAGGUACAUAUUUCAUAACAUCAUCAGCCUCUGAGGGCAUCCCAUCAUAUCAUAUUAGCCACCGCGGGCAAAAUCAUCAUCGUAUACCAGCUGAUCAGGUGGUGGUGCAUAUAUAAUGCCAUAACCUUUCCCAUAUCCCAUAUACAUAUAUACAUACAUAUAUACGCGUAUAUAACGCCGUUUGAAUCAUAUUUACAUAUGUAUAUGCGUAUAUAACGUCGUUUGAAUCAUAUUUCAGCCACUGUGGGCAACAUCAUCAUCAUAUACCAGCUGAUCAGGUGGUGGUGCGUAUAUAAUGUCGUAACCUUUUCCCAUAUCCCAUAUACAUAUAUUUACAUAUAUACGUGUAUAUAACGCUAUCUGGUCAUGGGUCAAUGCACAUGAAUGCAAUACAUGAAAAGUACGUUAAUAAAAUCUUUCAGAAGGGUCAUAAGACCACUUUGCCUUUGAGUAAUAUCAUAAAGUAAUCUCUUUUCAACUUUCGUAUUUUUCUGAGACCCAUGAACAGAUGAUAAAAUAUUAUGACACAUGAAAAUUCAAGAACAUAGAUAUUUUUAAUACUUCUAUGAAUAUAGACAUUCAUAGAAUUUGUGCAUUUGCACGUUUCGUUCGUAUCAUAUGGAUCAUGCCAAAAGAAAAAAGGGAUAGCCUUAACAUACCCGGAGUAGGAAAAAAUCCGUGUGAUAUUCAGGAGAAAGAUUAUACCGUGCUCUCCAUAAGUGAAACACUAUUGACCGAUAAAAAGAAACAUUAAUUGACUCAAUGAUCUUCUACCCACGAUAGCUGGGCACCGUGAAUCAUCUCAUUUGAUCAAAAUCCAACUUAUAUCAUGAGUGAAAUGUGUGCUUCAUAUAAAGAUGUAAUCCAUUUCCAAAUAUUCCUUGAAACUUUAGCUUGUCACCUUGGAUAAACUUUUAGCAUGGAACGGAGCCUCAAAAGUUCAAUCUCAGUGUUUUCAUAUACUCCCGAUUCCUCUUGUGGUAGCAAAUUUUGUAAUCUUGAUUUAAAUGACCUAACAUUCUGGUUCCAUGUAUAUUCUGAAAGGGUUGAGUCCACAUAUAAGAGAAACACCAUUUAAUCAAAUGAAACCCAUGCCAUAUGGAACAAACUACAAAGUCUUUCUUCUUACAGCCUUAAAUACAUAAAUG